Triticum aestivum (bread wheat) is the source of this 115-nucleotide non-coding RNA. The record is from Rfam. NCBI's taxonomy places the organism in Eukaryota, Viridiplantae, Streptophyta, Magnoliopsida, Poales, Poaceae.
CAGCUACUCCCUCCGUUCGGAAUUACUUGUCUCGGAAAUGGAUGUAUCUAGAACUAAAAUACGUCUAGAUACAUCCAUUUUCGCGACAACUAAAUCCGAACGGAGGGAGUGCUUA